AUGGGGGAGAUGAAAGGUCACUAGCCCAUGCCUACAGGGCAAGAGUGUGGAUUCUGCUCUGUGACAUUUCUGCCUUGUGGUUAGUCCUGGUUGCCUGACAGUCUUAACUUUUUCAUACCCUGAUUUUUCUUUCCACUUGUUUUAUGUGAGUAAAUGCCUGUCUUGUUUUAAGAUCUCCCUGAAAGCUAGACAAAGUAAGAACAGGGUCAUAUGGAGUUUAGAACAUGUAUGAGUAUGCUAUGUAUCAAGAGCACAGGUUGGAUCCUUAGUACUUCCAGCUUUCCUUAUUCUGUUCUGCAGAUGGGUAUUUUAAUGUGUGGUUGUCUUCCCUUUGCAGGGGGAUUCUGUGUUUUCAUUUGCGGCAUAUGAGUUCUUCAAACUUCUGCUUUAUAAGGUAUUUUCAGGAGAGCUGACACGUCAGUGACACUAUGAGGAGGAAGACGAAACUCGAAGCAUGCAAGAUUUCAAAGACACUGAUAUCAGCGGCUGGCUGUUCUGGCCAUACCAACUCUGAUGUUGUGCUUCAUGUCCCACGCUGCUCCUGCGGAUGUGGAUCUCCAGAGAGAUGACCUUUCACCUCCCCCAUCUCAGGCUGAAUGCCUUGUUGGAUCCCAGCAGAAGCAUCACUGACUGCCGAAUUUACUCAGAACAGUGUAUGAGAAGGCCGGAAGAUUUGCCUGAUUGGCAGAAAGAAUUCCAGGCAAAUCUUUCAGGUUGGAAAGAGGCGACAGCUCCUCUCCGAGGUAUUUCUAAAACAAAGCAGAGCCACCGUGCUGCUUGGGGGUUAAUAUCCCCCCUACUCUGCCCCCCAACUUGCUGCCAGAGAUCAGCUAAUCUGAUAAUUACGACAACAAACACAGUUUAGACAAACAAGACCUGACCCUGAGGGUUUGGAAUGAAAACAUUUACUCUCUCUCUCUCUCUCUCCAGAGAGACAGUGCCUGGAGCUCUCACACACGGAGGCACUGGGGAAAUUACCCUUGUGUUGGAGCGGGGUUAAAGCAUCUGUGUGAGGUGGGAGGGGCCAUGAUGGAGAGGUCCGGAGCACUUCGGGAGCAGAUGGAAAAUAUAUCAAUCUGGACACGGGAACACAUUGACUUUUUUUUUUUUCAACAGACAGAGCAAAAGGAAAGGUAGGAAAGAUGUAGGAUUGACCCGAAGGAUCUAGGAGUGAGUACCUGAUGGAGGAACACCGGCUUGCGUGUAGGGGACGUCUAGUCCGGCACACUUCUAGAGAACUUAAUACCUGCCCCUGGGGGGAGCCUUGCGUUUUCAUAGACGCUACCAGGUCAUCUUUUCUGAUCCCAUUUUGGCUACUGAGCAGAACAAUGUGCCCUUUCCCCUCCUUACUUGCUUCAAAUCGGCCUACCCCUUCCUCCUCCCCCCACACCUCUUUUACUUCUGAAAUACGGCUUCCUUGAUAAGUCCUUCCUUAAUAUAGGAAGUUCCAACUUUGGCUUCCUUCAGCCUAGAAUUCGUCAGGUCUUCUGUUCGUUGUCAGGUUUGCCCCAUGUGUCCAAGCUCAGCUUCAAACGUUCUCCUCUUCUUUUUUUGUGUUUUGUUUUGUUUUUGUUUUUUC
Long non-coding RNA from Mus musculus (house mouse), 1579 nucleotides. RefSeq annotates it as predicted gene, 34636. The transcript is spliced from 4 exons. The record is from RefSeq and is a predicted model, not a curated record. NCBI's taxonomy places the organism in Eukaryota, Metazoa, Chordata, Mammalia, Rodentia, Muridae.